Molecule: long non-coding RNA, 352 nt
Filed under: Mytilus galloprovincialis (Mediterranean mussel)
Lineage: Eukaryota; Metazoa; Mollusca; Bivalvia; Mytilida; Mytilidae
Source: RNAcentral
AAUGUUAUACAAAUAUGCACUUUCAUGGAACUAAAAUAUGUUCGUACCUAUAUUUUGGUGUUGCACAGUCAAGUCAUGGUUUUUUUUUUUUGACUGUCUGACGUCUUUACGAAAAGUUGGCUGUAAAAACCAUUUUAAAUAUGAAACAAUUCAAUAUAAAAAGAUUGAGCUGUAGUAGGAUAAUCGAUAAGACCACUAUCCACCGUAGUUCAAAAGAAGUAAGCAAUUAUAGACAACCAAACGGCGUUCAACAACUAGAAAAUCAUAUACAAAAUAACCGAAAAUAAAAGGCCCCGACAUGAAAAAUAUGAAUCUAUUCAACGUUAGCAAAAAGUAAAAUCACAAAAAUACU